GACGAACGCUGGCGGCGUGCUUAAAACAUGCAAGUCGAACGGAAAGGCCCUGCUUUUGUGGGGUGCUCGAGUGGCGAACGGGUGAGUAACACGUGAGUAACCUGCCCUUGACUUUGGGAUAACUUCAGGAAACUGGGGCUAAUACCGGAUAGGAGCUCCUGCUGCAUGGUGGGGGUUGGAAAGUUUCGGCGGUUGGGGAUGGACUCGCGGCUUAUCAGCUUGUUGGUGGGGUAGUGGCUUACCAAGGCUUUGACGGGUAGCCGGCCUGAGAGGGUGACCGGCCACAUUGGGACUGAGAUACGGCCCAGACUCCUACGGGAGGCAUCAGUGGGGAAUAUUGCACAAUGGGCGGAAGCCUGAUGCAGCAACGCCGCGUGCGGGAUGACGGCCUUCGGGUUGUAAACCGCUUUCGCCUGUGACGAAGCGUGAGUGACGGUAAUGGGUAAAGAAGCACCGGCUAACUACGUG
RNAcentral lists this ribosomal RNA (468 nucleotides) under uncultured bacterium. RNAcentral describes it as "partial 16S ribosomal RNA". It matches the Rfam family "Bacterial small subunit ribosomal RNA", at positions 28 to 507 of the family's 1533-position model. The record is from RNAcentral.